Molecule: long non-coding RNA, 581 nt
Organism: Oncorhynchus tshawytscha (Chinook salmon)
Lineage: Eukaryota; Metazoa; Chordata; Actinopteri; Salmoniformes; Salmonidae
Source: Ensembl
GGGAAAUUAUCGUUUUGCGCAACCCCUUUCUGUCAAGGCCGCUCAACCGCGGGCCAGGUGCAGAGAACCACACAAACUGAGUGGCACUAGCGGCCAAGGCAAAUUACAUUACCAUUUGUUCGCGGAAGUGGCUUUUUUGUGUUGGUAGAAAGGGGGUGGUGGGGGAGGAAAGGAAGAGAAACUAAAGAAGAAAAGUUUCAGCCCUCUUUCUAAAGAAAUUCAUAUGCACACUGUACGACAGCUGGCGUUUGAACCUUCGCAUUCAGCCACUUGUGUAAUUUAGUUAGAGGUAGGCCUACCGGACAACAACAGCUGGGAGAAAACAAGAGGCACAAAAGGGACAAGGAGGAAGAUUGCUGGUUACCAAACAGGAAUAAGGGGGAGGAGCCUUUUAGAGGGGAAACAGCCCAUGUGGGCUCUACUAUCUCCAUCCCUCUCUCCUUCCCCUCCUCCAUCCAUUCCGUUGUCCUUCCCAUAGUGUGUGUGUGAGAGAGAGAAAGGGAGAGAGCAAUGCUCAGUGCACACGCAUGCAUAUACUGUUAAAUGAUUUAGACUGCAAAGUGGGAGAGGGGAAAAGGGGA